Molecule: long non-coding RNA, 2514 nt
Organism: Cynoglossus semilaevis (tongue sole)
Lineage: Eukaryota; Metazoa; Chordata; Actinopteri; Pleuronectiformes; Cynoglossidae
Exons: 14
Source: RefSeq, a predicted model, not a curated record
AUAAAUAUAAUAUGGCAUGUUCCUGCUUGUAUUUAUGAUUUGUUUGAUGAUGACACAACAAAUAAAUGUAAUUCUAUGGUGCUGGGAUCAUUAGCAGGGAUUUUGUCCCCCCAUUUCUUUGUAUUUUCCUAUUUUUCUUUUGUAAGUUGUCAGGUGGGAGAACUGUAACUCAAUUUCCCAUUGGCUUAGCUUCAGUGGUGUCUCCCUCUUGUGUCCCACCUUCCAGGUGCUACUUUUCCCUGCCUCCUGUGCUUCCCUCCAAUGUGAUUACAUAACUCCCUGCCCCUGUCUUGUUAACUCCGCCCAUGUCUCUAUAAAAUGGUUCUCCACCCAUUUCAUCCAUUUGCCAGUAACUACAUGCAGCAGUGUUUCUAUCCCUGCCUUUCCAUGUGUUGUUUUCUCUUGUUUCCUGUGGCCUCCUAAUUUGUCUAAUUGAAAGGGGACCAAAUGGAGGCGCAGAGCACAUGGGAGGGAUUACACAUCCAGACUGGACUUCAAGCACGUUUUUGAUUCUUCAAAAUGGAGCUGGAGAUUGCGGCCAGGGCUUAUUGCUUAUGAACUUUGCUAUAUCUCCUCCUGCUGCAGCCUCAACUUUCUACACACUGCUGUCUCCAGAGGCUGCUGUGAGGAGCAGCAAGGACGUAAGCACUGCAAAGGCCUCCAAUAAAAAAGUACAUCCGCUGCACGGGGACCAAGGUUGUGGACAAGUGGCCUGUUGGUUUGACGGAUGAACAACUGCAGUUAACGCUGAAUGCUGACCCAGAACGUGUAGGAGUUCCUGCAAUAUGGACCUAAUCGUUGAUCUGCAGCAUAUCAGCUUCUAUGGCACUGGUAGUCCUGUCUGUUUCCCGUGGCUGCACUCCCCUGUGGUUUCCUGCUUCUGCCCUUCUGUUCUGUCUGCCCAUCUGCCUGGCCUGAGACAGAGUGGCCAAGUUAUUAAGACACGAAUUAUGACCAUGUUCCAGAUUUGUGUUUCUACUGCAAGCAAGAAGUGACAAUGAUGAGGGACCAUCUGUCUAAGAGAAAUCCCGACCAGCUUAUACUUACUUCACGAUUGGACCAAUUUCCAAGCAAUUACCAUGUCAAAGCAAAGUAAUAGGACUUGACCCAUGACCAGGAAUCAAUAUCCAUGUUCUGACAUGGGCCUUCAUGCGCCAGGACACCACGGUCGUGUGUCAAGAAUGAAAGGAUAGUUCCUUGGAGUGCAAAGUCAGGAUUUGGAUUUUGCAGCCCAGCCGUAAAUGGAUAUUGAUUCGACACCCACUCGGUUUAAUAGGAAUGGAGCAGCCAGAACAGGAGCUUCCCAGGUUUCUACUGAACCACAUUGAAACACAGGAGGUCGAGGACGGCAGGAUACAAGGGAGGUUCUGUCAUGUUCCUGCUGGCCUUUGUUCAGCACUGAAGAACCCAUUCAUACAGUGCAGCAAAUGGACCAACAAGGGAAUACGAGGUCUGUCUCCUCAGGUCUGAAACUGUCACACCAUUUGACCCUAUUAUUCCAACUGGAAGCCUUCCAGGACUCAGCUACGGCCCACUAAGCUCCCAGUGGGUUAAAAACACUGCAUCAGCUGCCUAAACACUGUGAGCAUCAUUUUGCAGCAACACCUUUUUCUAGUCAUUAAUAUUAAACGCUGCUAACUAGGACAUUCUGCAGCACAGUGUGAAGAAGUGCACAGCUCAUUUCCCCGUGCAUGUGGGCCUGGGCAGAAGAGAAUGGCAAGUUAAAUAUCAGGCAUGUGAUAUGAAUAAACCCCCUCCAGGACUAUCGGCUCCCCCUGCUGCCUUCUCUCCUUUUCAAUGAGGAACGGCCUAUUGUGCCAAGGCAAAUAGUGAAUAGAAACAAGUGGUUCCUUUGCUAGUCACAAACAGAAACUGUAACAGUUUCUCUUCUCAUGUCUGUUUACAUUUAUACCUACACAUUCGUUGAUAUUGAUUUUUGAGUCCCUGGUGAUGAAACUGUAAUAAUGCUGUAAAAUAUAACUCUGUAAAAUAUUGACAUGGACCCAUCACAGUUAAACAAAUAUUUAGAUGAAAACUUGUAAGUAAUCUUUUAAAAUAAAAAAUAGCCAAAUGAUGAAAAAAAUGAAGACAGGACAGAGCGUUCGGAGUCAUAUUUAAAGUCAGAUCUCUAUCAUUGUACUGCAAACACACAGUACAAAUGCAAUACGGAUAGGAUUUUAGCUGAUUAUCUCACAGCCACUAAAUAUACAUAGCCAGAAUACAGAUACAAAAUAAAGAUGUAUUGUAUUUUAGAAAAGAGCAGGUUAUACUCAUUCUUGCAUGGUUCAGGUGUGUGUACAGCAGAAUGAAUCUGCAUCUCAUUAGUCAUUAGUAUUUUAAUACUAAUCUACUUUAAUAUUGUAAUAUAUUUUUUGCACCAUAUGCCUUUCUGCAUGUUUAUUGUACAGUCGUACUAUUGUAAGUAACAACGUUAUGUACAUCGUACAUAUAUAUGUAUAUACAGUACUUCUCUGAUGUUCCAAAACCACCAGAAAUAAAAAACAUUAUUUCACC